RNAcentral lists this ribosomal RNA (497 nucleotides) under uncultured bacterium. Its description in RNAcentral is "partial 16S ribosomal RNA". It matches the Rfam family "Bacterial small subunit ribosomal RNA", at positions 28 to 507 of the family's 1533-position model. The record is from RNAcentral.
GAUGAACGCUGGCGGCGUGCCUAAUACAUGCAAGUCGAGCGAACGGACGAGAAGCUUGCUUCUCUGAUGUUAGCGGCGGACGGGUGAGUAACACGUGGAUAACCUACCUAUAAGACUGGGAUAACUUCGGGAAACCGGAGCUAAUACCGGAUAAUAUUUUGAACCGCAUGGUUCAAAAGUGAAAGACGGUCUUGCUGUCACUUAUAGAUGGAUCCGCGCUGCAUUAGCUAGUUGGUAAGGUAACGGCUUACCAAGGCAACGAUGCAUAGCCGACCUGAGAGGGUGAUAGGCCACACUGGAACUGAGACACGGUCCAGACUCCUACGGGAGGCAGCAGUAGGGAAUCUUCCGCAAUGGGCGAAAGCCUGACGGAGCAACGCCGCGUGAGUGAUGAAGGUCUUCGGAUCGUAAAACUCUGUUAUGAGGGAAGAACAUAUGUGUAAGUAACUGUGCACAUCUUGACGGUACCUAAUCAGAAAGCCACGGCUAACUACGUG